RNAcentral lists this ribosomal RNA (308 nucleotides) under uncultured bacterium. Its description in RNAcentral is "partial 16S ribosomal RNA". It matches the Rfam family "Bacterial small subunit ribosomal RNA", at positions 502 to 808 of the family's 1533-position model. The record is from RNAcentral.
UAGACAGCAGCAGCCGCGGUAAUCCGUAGGUGGCAAGCGUUGCCCGGAAUUAUUGGGCGUAAAGCGAGCGCAGGCGGUUAGAUAAGUCUGAAGUUAAAGGCUGUGGCUUAACCAUAGUACGCUUUGGAAACUGUUUAACUUGAGUGCAAGAGGGGAGAGUGGAAUUCCAUGUGUAGCGGUGAAAUGCGUAGAUAUAUGGAGGAACACCGGUGGCGAAAGCGGCUCUCUGGCUUGUAACUGACGCUGAGGCUCGAAAGCGUGGGGAGCAAACAGGAUUAGAGACCCGCGUAGUCCCUGUCUCUUAUACC